CCUACGGGAGGCUGCAGUAGGGAAUCUUUCUCAAUGGGGGAAACCCUGAAGCAGCAACGCCGCGUGGAGGAUGAAGGUUUUCGGAUUGUAAACUCCUUUUGUUAGAGAAGAUAAUGAUGGUAUCUAAUGAAUAAGCAUCGGCUAACUCCGUGCCAGCAGCCGCGGUAAUACGGAGGGUGCAAGCGUUACCCGGAAUCACUGGGUGUAAAGAGUGCGUAGGCGGGCAAGCAAAUUAGAUGGAAAAUCCUAGGGCUUAACCAUAGGACUGCAUUUGAAACUGUUAUUCUAGAGUAUGGGAGAGGUAGGUGGAAUUCUUGGUGUAGGGGUAAAAUCCGUAGAGAUCAAGAGGAAUACUCAUUGCGUAGGCAACCUACUAGAACAUAACUGACGCUGAGGCACGAAAGCGUGGGGAGCAAACAGGAUUAGAUACCCCUGUAGUC
RNAcentral lists this ribosomal RNA (440 nucleotides) under uncultured bacterium. RNAcentral describes it as "partial 16S ribosomal RNA". It matches the Rfam family "Bacterial small subunit ribosomal RNA", at positions 338 to 795 of the family's 1533-position model. The record is from RNAcentral.